RNAcentral lists this unclassified non-coding RNA (360 nucleotides) under soil metagenome. RNAcentral's name for it is "partial contains 5.8S ribosomal RNA, internal transcribed spacer 2, and large subunit ribosomal RNA". The stretch from base 1 to 120 matches the Rfam family "5.8S ribosomal RNA", at positions 35 to 154 of the family's 154-position model. The record is from RNAcentral.
GAUGAAGAACGCAGCGAAAUGCGAUAAGUAGUGUGAAUUGCAGAAUUCAGUGAAUCAUCGAAUCUUUGAACGCACAUUGCGCCCGCCAGUAUUCUGGCGGGCAUGCCUGUCUGAGCGUCGUUUCGACCCUCGCGCCCGGCUUCUGUCGGGGGCGGUGUUGGGGAUCGGCCACACCCUUCAGUGGGAGGCCGGCCCCUAAAUUCAGUGGCGACCACGCUGUAGCCUCCCCUGCGUAGUACUAAAACCACCUCGCAGGCGGAGAGCGGUGCGGCCCGCCGUAAAACCCCCCAACUUUUACAAGGUCGACCUCAGAUCAGGUAGGAAUACCCGCUGAACUUAAGCAUAUCAAUAAGCGGAGGA